UUGCUGGUCGAUUGCAUCGCUGGAUUAAAGUUAAACAAGACUUCUAACGCCUUCAACAUCACGGAUCGCAAGUGCAGGACAAAACAAAAGAUGCCUCCAAAACAGAAAUGCAAAAUUGUCAAUCCAAAUGCAUAGCUAGAGCUCAUCUUGAAGUGAAUUUCUCUCUCAUGCCCAAGGGAUCUUAAAAAUGGACACAUCUUGUACUUGUAUACCUCGUUUGGAAAAAGAUUGUCUGAAACUGAGAGUCGGCUGAGUUCACAUUUCUCUUUGUCGGAUGCAGAAGGCUAUUCAUUUGCUGCUAUUAACUCAAGGGUGAGGACUCUCGUUAGAAUGUGGGAGGAAGCCGGAGCAGCCAGAGAAAACCCACAGGGAGAACAUACAAACUCCACACAGACAGCACCCGUAGUCUGCCUCUCUGGCACUGUAAAACAGCAACUCUUCUGUGCCGGUCUAUGUUUCAAGAAGAAAUUAACUUAGUGGACUUUGCCUCUAACUCUAACUGUUCAUAUUUGGUCCAGCUCUGAUUAAUAUCUCUUCUCACUGAAAGAUGUGAAGAAUAUAGUGUCGUGCCGGAGGGAAAAAUAGGUAUAAAUCUAUGAUGGAUGCAACAAAUAAAAUCCUUGUCUCUCCCAGGGUGAUUGGUUGAAGCUAAAUGAUCCGACUAUUCUUAAAUCUUGAUUGUAUUUUUGUAACAGAUUAUACUAUUCAAACUGUAUUUUAAAUUUGCAUAUGGUUUGUAUUGGCACAUGGUGUUUGGCCACAAAUUGAAUGAUAUCUCAUGCAAAUGGAAAAGGACAACAAUAUUAACAAGCUGAGGGAAAUAUAACAGUGUUAUUUUUAAACAAAAUUUAAGAAAUCAAUACCACAGGUCAAUAAGAAAGUGUAUGGAUUGAAUACAUUUUGUAUUCUCACCUGUCUAUUUUUAUUUCUAUGGUGACUGUGAAUUGUGCUUCACUAUCAGGUAGAUAUGUGGAAGGAACAAUCACAUAAUUUCCUUCUGUCAGACUGCAAAGUUGGGUUACUUCUUGCGUGUAUCGAUGAGGCACGCAACUCAUCACUGGUUCCACAAGCUGACAAGAUACUUGAUUUAUAUUUUUCGUGGUGUCGAUCUG
Long non-coding RNA from Amblyraja radiata (thorny skate), 1112 nucleotides. RefSeq lists it as uncharacterized. Lineage: Eukaryota; Metazoa; Chordata; Chondrichthyes; Rajiformes; Rajidae. The record is from RefSeq and is a predicted model, not a curated record. The transcript has 2 exons.